This 727-nucleotide ribosomal RNA is filed under the name uncultured bacterium. RNAcentral's name for it is "bacterial SSU rRNA". It matches the Rfam family "Bacterial small subunit ribosomal RNA", at positions 98 to 824 of the family's 1533-position model. The record is from RNAcentral.
GCGCACGGGUGAGUAACGCGUAUGCAACCUGCCUAUAAGAGGGGGAUAGCCUUUCGAAAGAAAGAUUAAUACCGCAUAAUACUGUUGACCUGCAUGGGUUGACAGUUAAACUAUUUGGCUUAUAGAUGGGCAUGCGUUCCAUUAGAUAGUUGGUGAGGUAACGGCUCACCAAGUCAGCGAUGGAUAGGGGUUCUGAGAGGAAGGUCCCCCACACUGGUACUGAGACACGGACCAGACUCCUACGGGAGGCAGCAGUGAGGAAUAUUGGUCAAUGGGCGAGAGCCUGAACCAGCCAAGUCGCGUGAAGGAUGAAGGUCUUAUGGAUUGUAAACUUCUUUUAUAAGGGAAUAAAAAAGAUCACGUGUGGUUUAUUGCAUGUACCUUAUGAAUAAGCAUCGGCUAACUCCGUGCCAGCAGCCGCGGUAAUACGGAGGAUGCGAGCGUUAUCCGGGUUUAUUGGGUUUAAAGGGUGCGUAGGCGGUUUAUUAAGUCAGUGGUGAAAGUUUUCGGCUCAACCGGAAAAUUGCCAUUGAAACUGAUAGACUUGAGUGUAAACGAGGUAGGCGGAAUUCGUGGUGUAGCGGUGAAAUGCUUAGAUAUCACGAAGAACUCCAAUUGCGAAAGCAGCUUACUAGGCUACAACUGACGCUGAAGCACGAAAGCGUGGGGAUCAAACAGGAUUAGAUACCCUGGUAGUCCACGCAGUAAACGAUGAUAACUAGCUGUU